UGAGGAAUAUUGGUCAAUGGGCGCAAGCCUGAACCAGCCAUCCCGCGUGCAGGAAGACGGCCCUAUGGGUUGUAAACUGCUUUUCCAGGGGGAGAAUUUUUCUGUCGUGACAGGAAUGGACGGUACCCUGGGAAUAAGCAUCGGCUAACUCCGUGCCAGCAGCCGCGGUAAUACGGAGGAUACGAGCGUUAUCUGGAUUUAUUGGGUUUAAAGGGUGCGUAGGCGGAUUGAUAAGUCAGUGGUGAAAACCUGCAGCUUAACUGUAGACUUGCCGUUGAUACUGUCAGUCUUGAGUGUGGUCAAGGUAGGCGGAAUGUGUAAUGUAGCGGUGAAAUGCUUAGAUAUUACACAGAACACCGAUUGCGAAGGCAGCUUACUGGGCCAUUACUGACGCUGAUGCACGAAAGCGUGGGGAUCGAACAG
Molecule: ribosomal RNA, 423 nt
Filed under: uncultured bacterium
Lineage: Bacteria
Description: bacterial SSU rRNA
Rfam family: Bacterial small subunit ribosomal RNA
Source: RNAcentral